ACGUGUUACAAUGGGGGGUACAGAGGGCCGCUACCACGCGAGUGGAUGCCAAUCCCUAAAACCCCUCUCAGUUCGGACUGGAGUCUGCAACCCGACUCCACGAAGCUGGAUUCGCUAGUAAUCGCGCAUCAGCCACGGCGCGGUGAAUACGUUCCCGGGCCUUGUACACACCGCCCGUCAAGCCAUGGGAGCCGGGGGUACCUGAAGUGUGUAACCGCGAGGAUCGCCCUAGGGUAAAACUGGUGACUGGGGCUAAGUCGUAACAAGGUAUC
This 272-nucleotide ribosomal RNA is filed under the name uncultured bacterium. Its description in RNAcentral is "partial 16S ribosomal RNA". It matches the Rfam family "Bacterial small subunit ribosomal RNA", at positions 1220 to 1500 of the family's 1533-position model. The record is from RNAcentral.